Molecule: long non-coding RNA, 2018 nt
Filed under: Mus musculus (house mouse)
Lineage: Eukaryota; Metazoa; Chordata; Mammalia; Rodentia; Muridae
Description: long non-coding RNA chr15:99699112-99701130
Source: RNAcentral
GCACGUUUGAGGACUUUACCUGCUAAGCCCUCGCCAGCCGCUGUACCAAAGGCCUAGGUGGGGAGGGCUGGGGGAGCAAGGGGUACCUAACUGCCCCCAGCUACCCUGGGGACUUAAACUGCAUCCCUGGGCAGUGGUUCCCUCUUGUCUGUGGUGAGAAAGGAGUCUUGACCAGAGUCCUCUCCCAGCCUCUAUCUCAUCUUUUUAUUUUAACAAAAUUAAACUAAUAUAAAGAGAGAGAGAGAGAGAGAGAGAGAGAGAGAGAGAGAGAGAUCAGCCGCGACCUCAGGCUGCCCCUCUGCUCCACGCUGCCGCCCCCAGCUCCAAGCCUGAAUUCUGUCUGUCUGGCUGUAUGUCAUCUGAGUGUCCACCUACAUUCUGCUGCCUCCAGUCACCAAAGCCCCCUCCUAGUGAGGGGUGGAGGGGAUCUCUAGGGUCUGAAAUUUGGCCCCAAACCAGAGAAUGUACCUUAAGGGAGAGGGCUGGUGUGGGGGCUUCCCUAGCCUUAAGAGAUGCUCUCAGCCGGGUGACUCCCCACGAGCCCAAGUCUCCAGGUAAGGACUCCGUGCCCAGUUACUGCUCCCUCAAGCAUACGGAAUCUUUACGGGGCAGAGGAUUUCCUGAAGAAGUAGAGAUUGGGACUCCAUGUGGCCCUGGUGCUGUAGGCCACAUCCCAAUAUCUGUAAGUCACCUCCACCCCAAAGCUGCUGGAGAGAGAUCCCAAGAGGCAACCCUCUGUGACAUCCCCCAGAAGACCUGGCUGGUUAGCGCCCGGCUCAGGGAGAGGGGCACGGCCGCCUGACCUCACUGGCUUCUCUCUCAGAGGCCUUUGCAGAAGGCCACAUCCAUAAAUUUUCUUAUGGAACAAUCCCAAGUCCUCUUCCCCGACGUCAUCCGCUUCUCUCGGCAACCUCAUCUGCAUUUUCUAUUUCUAUAUGAUACAGACUCUAUAUUACUAUAACCUUGUAUAUACUCCCCUCCGGCCCUGUUUGUCUCCCCCUCCAUUCCCUCUUGUCUCCAAGAACCGCCCUCCCGCCCCUAGUUCUCCCUUCUGUCUCUCCCCCAUUCUCCUGUCUCUGAAUGCCUUUGCCCGUAUAAAGAGCUGGAUUCUCCCCUGGUGUCUGUACUGUACUGUGUACACACAUCCCUCUGAGAAGCACAAGGAGAUGACACGCGCAUUGUAACCUUCGCACUGUCUCGGUGGCGACAUAAAGGAAGCUGUGAAUUACAAGCUCUGCCUCUUUCUGGCCUCGCCCUUUGCCCCCACGACCGGGGCACCCUCUGCCCUCCCCACAGCCUUAACAUACCCUCUACCUUGCUCCACCUAUCCCAGUGCCCUUUGCCUGGCUGACUGUGGCCUCCCUGAGGGAAGUGACUGCUGGAGAGGUAGCUCCUACCCAGGAAUGGAGGACACUAAGCGGAGAGAGUUACAGACGGGAGGUGGGGAGGGAGGCUGGGGAUUGGUGACUCCCUCUUGCAGCUGGGCGGUGGGUACCCACAGCCAGAAGCCGGAGCCCUGACUCAGUGGCCUUUCUUUCUUCGGGGUGCCCAGGGCCCAGUCCUCACCUUGAUGCCCAGGCCCACCGCUUGCAUUUUCUGGUGAGUCAGGGCGUGGUCACAUGAGGAAAGAGAUUGGCCUAGAGCAGAAGUUGAAAGACGUGCUGUUGUGUGUCCCUACCCUAAGGGGGCCACAAGGUGAGGUAGAGGGCCUCCUCAACCAGACACCCUUCCCAGGCCAGCUCUCCAAUCUCAUUCCUGGCCUUCUCUGUCCCCACUGUCUCUUGGUCUCUAAUCCCAAAACAGGACUUAUGGGCAGAUCACCUGUGUACGUUGGCCUGGAGCCAGAGAGCAAGGCUUUGGCAUCUUUGAGACCUCUUGGUUCUCAAGAGUUGUUUAGAGAUCAGAACUCCCCAGAAAGAAACAGGGCAAAGCUGAGAAAUGUACACUGGCUGGGGGGGCAGCAGGAGGGGCUCUGGGUGACGCAUGCCUCUGGUCUAAUAAACUGGGUUUCAACCAUC